GUAAGAGGGGAUGCGAAUAGCAUUCCUUUAGUGAUGAGAUCGCAACACUGUCAAAUUGCGGGGAGUUCCUAAAGCUCAGGCUACCGCCUCAGGUGCUGAAAAGCCCUGAAGGCACCAAGGUUAGCAACCUUGGGUAUGGUAAUAACGCCUGUAGAUACUACAAUGGAUGAUCCGCAGCCAAGCUCUAACAAUCUUUUCACGAUUCACGAGCGGGGUUCAACGACUAGACGGCAGUGGGCCUGCAAAACAGGUUUAAGAUAUAGUCUGCGCCUAGGGAAAAAUCCCAAG
Sclerotinia sclerotiorum is the source of this 288-nucleotide non-coding RNA. The record is from Rfam. NCBI's taxonomy places the organism in Eukaryota, Fungi, Ascomycota, Leotiomycetes, Helotiales, Sclerotiniaceae.